RNAcentral lists this small RNA (634 nucleotides) under Pongo abelii (Sumatran orangutan). RNAcentral describes it as "processed transcript". The record is from RNAcentral. Lineage: Eukaryota; Metazoa; Chordata; Mammalia; Primates; Hominidae.
GCUGUGCGCCGGCGGUCUUCGGUCCUCAGCCAGCUUCAUGACAUCCGGGUGGUGAAAGCGUUCCGUAGCUCGCUCUAUGAAGGCCUGGAGAAACCAGAAUCCAAGACCUCCAUUCACAACUUCAUGGCCACGCCCGAGUUUCUGAUCAAUGACUACACCCACAACAUCCCGCUCAUCGAUGACACGGACGUGGACGAGAACGAGGAGCACCUCCGGGCCCCCCCGCCACCGUCCCCCAACCAGAACAACAACGCCAUAGACAGCGGCAUCUACCUGACCACGCAUGUCACCAAGUCAGCUACCUCUUCAGUGUUUUCCUCCAGUCCCGGGAGCCCGCUCCACAGCGUGGAGACGUCCCUCUAACAAGAACUUGUCUCAGCACAUGCGCACACGCACACUCGGACUCACACGAAGCCACACGCACACAUGCACGCACACACACAUAUGGGGACCUGCACACCUGCAAGACGAGGGAACAACUAAGGUGGCUGAAGACCUUUCUGGCAGGGCAUUUGCAAGGACCCAAAUCCAUUCAACAAGGGUGCAGCCUGCCACAGGCUCCUCAUCCGGACCGAGGAAGACGAGGACAGGGAGGAGGAAAAGGAGGAAGAGGAGGACAAGAAGUGGGAGGAGA